Molecule: ribosomal RNA, 842 nt
Filed under: uncultured archaeon
Lineage: Archaea
Description: bacterial SSU rRNA
Rfam family: Archaeal small subunit ribosomal RNA
Source: RNAcentral
UGUAGCAAUACAAGGCAGACGGCUCAGUAACGCGUAGUCAACCUAACCUAUGGACGGGAAUAACCUCGGGAAACUGAGAAUAAUGCCCGAUAGAACACUAUACCUGGAAUGGUUUGUGUUCCAAAUGAUUUAUCGCCGUAGGAUGGGACUGCGGCCUAUCAGUUUGUUGGUGAGGUAAUGGCCCACCAAGACUAUUACAGGUACGGGCUCUGAGAGGAGUAGCCCGGAGAUGGGUACUGAGACACGGACCCAGGCCCUAUGGGGCGCAGCAGGCGAGAAAACUUUGCAAUGUGCGAAGGCACGACAAGGUUAAUCCGAGUGGUUUCUGCUAAAGGAACCUUUUGUCGGUCCUAGAAACACCGAUGAAUAAGGGGUGGGCAAGUUCUGGUGUCAGCCGCCGCGGUAAAACCAGCACCUCAAGUGGUCAGGAUGAUUAUUGGGCCUAAAGCAUCCGUAGCCGGCUCUGUAAGUUUUCGGUUAAAUCUGUACGCUCAACGUACAGGCUGCCGGGAAUACUGCAGAGCUAGGGAGUGGGAGAGGUAGACGGUACUCGGUAGGAAGGGGUAAAAUCCUUUGAUCUAUUGAUGACCACCUGUGGCGAAGGCGGUCUACCAGAACACGUCCGACGGUGAGGGAUGAAAGCUGGGGGAGCAAACCGGAUUAGAUACCCGGGUAGUCCCAGCUGUAAACUAUGCAAACUCAGUGAUGCAUUGACUUGUGGUCAAUGCAGUGCUGCAGGGAAGCCGUUAAGUUUGCCGCCUGGGAAGUACGUACGCAAGUAUGAAACUUAAAGGAAUUGGCGGGGGAGCACCACAAGGGGUGAAGCCUGCGGUUCAAUUGGA